Mycena polygramma is the source of this 91-nucleotide non-coding RNA. NCBI's taxonomy places the organism in Eukaryota, Fungi, Basidiomycota, Agaricomycetes, Agaricales, Mycenaceae. The record is from the annotation of a GenBank genome assembly.
GGCUUGGUGGUGUAAUGGUAACACACUCUUCCACUAUAGGUGUCAAGCCUUGGUCUUGAGGGAGUUCCUUGUUCGAACCAAGGUCCAGCCA